GACGAACGCUGGCGGCGUGCUUAACACAUGCAAGUCGUACGGUAAGGCCCUUUCGGGGGUACACGAGUGGCGAACGGGUGAGUAACACGUGAGUAACCUGCCCACAACUUUGGGAUAACGCUAGGAAACUGGUGCUAAUACUGGAUAUGUGCUCCUGCUGCAUGGUGGGGGUUGGAAAGCUCCGGCGGUUGUGGAUGGACUCGCGGCCUAUCAGCUUGUUGGUGGGGUAGUGGCCUACCAAGGCGGCGACGGGUAGCCGGCCUGAGAGGGUGACCUGCCACAUUGGGACUGAGAUACGGCCCAGACUCCUACGGGAGGCAGCAGUGGGGAAUAUUGCACAAUGGGCGCAAGCCUGAUGCAGCAACGCCGCGUGCGGGAUGACGGCCUUCGGGUUGUAAACCGCUUUCAGCAGGGACGAAGCUUUUUGUGACGGUACCUGCAGAAGAAGCACCGGCUAACUACGUG
Molecule: ribosomal RNA, 465 nt
Filed under: uncultured bacterium
Lineage: Bacteria
Description: partial 16S ribosomal RNA
Rfam family: Bacterial small subunit ribosomal RNA
Source: RNAcentral